Molecule: long non-coding RNA, 336 nt
Organism: Ceratina calcarata
Lineage: Eukaryota; Metazoa; Arthropoda; Insecta; Hymenoptera; Apidae
Exons: 2
Source: RefSeq, a predicted model, not a curated record
GACACGGUGGUGCGCACAGGACGUUCCAAGUGGCGACACUCUACAGCUUUAUGCACUUUCCUUUACUGCUCGGCGCAGGGUUAGUGUCGAGUUGCCGAGAAACUUUGGAUUUCGGACGAGCGGCGAAAGCGGCGAGGGGAAAACGGAGUACAAGGUCACGCGUCGGGGCUGAUUAUUAACUUUUCCGGCGAAGAUCCUGGCUAUCCCAGUGACUCUCCGUCGAACCCGUGACCAUCUUUACUCCUUCACUCCGUGUUUUUCAAUAAGUAUUCGCAUAUGCAUAACAAUCAUGGCACAUGUAUUUUAAAUAGGAUAUAAUUAUAAAUUUAUAUUCGA